Molecule: ribosomal RNA, 446 nt
Filed under: uncultured bacterium
Lineage: Bacteria
Description: partial 16S ribosomal RNA
Rfam family: Bacterial small subunit ribosomal RNA
Source: RNAcentral
AACGAACGCUGGCGGCAGGCCUAACACAUGCAAGUCGAACGCCCCGCAAGGGGAGUGGCAGACGGGUGAGUAACGCGUGGGAACGUACCUUUCGCUUCGGAAUAGUCCCGGGAAACUGGGAUUAAGACCGGAUACGCCGUAUUGGGAAAGAUUUAUCGGCGAAAGAUCGGCCCGCGUUGGAUUAGCUAGUUGGUGGUGUAAUGGACCACCAAGGCGACGAUCCAUAGCUGGUCUGAGAGGAUGAUCAGCCACGCUGGGACUGAGACACGGCCCAGACUCCUACGGGAGGCAGCAGUGGGGAAUCUUGGACAAUGGGCGCAAGCCUGAUCCAGCCAUGCCGCGUGAGUGAAGAAGGCCUUAGGGUUGUAAAACUCUUUCGCCGGAGAAGAUAAUGACGGUAUCCGGAGAAGAAGCCCCGGCUAACUUCGUGCCAGCAGCCGCCGUAA